UACGAAGGGGGCUAGCGUUUUUCGGAAUUACUGGGCGUAAAGCGCCCGUAGGCGGCCUUGUAAGAUGGGGGUGAAAUCCCCGGGCUCAGCCCGGGAUCUGCCUUCAUGACUGCAAAGCUAGAGGAUGCGAGAGGUUAGCGGAAUUCCGAGUGUAGAGGUGAAAUUCGUAGAUAUUCGGAAGAACACCAGUGGCGAAGGCGGCUAACUGGCGCAUUUCUGACGCUGAGGUGCGAAAGCGUGGGGAUCAAACAGG
This 253-nucleotide ribosomal RNA is filed under the name uncultured bacterium. RNAcentral describes it as "partial 16S ribosomal RNA". It matches the Rfam family "Bacterial small subunit ribosomal RNA", at positions 524 to 776 of the family's 1533-position model. The record is from RNAcentral.